UACGUAGGUGGCAAGCGUUGUCCGGGUUUAUUGGGCGUAAAGCGCGCGCAGGCGGUCCUUUAAGUCUGAUGUGAAAUCUUGCGGCUCAACCGCAAGCGGUCAUUGGAAACUGGGGGACUUGAGUGCAGAAGAGGAAAGCGGAAUUCCACGUGUAGCGGUGAAAUGCGUAGAGAUGUGGAGGAACACCAGUGGCGAAGGCGGCUUUCUGGUCUGUAACUGACGCUGAGGCGCGAAAGCGUGGGGAGCAAACAGG
This 253-nucleotide ribosomal RNA is filed under the name uncultured bacterium. RNAcentral describes it as "partial 16S ribosomal RNA". It matches the Rfam family "Bacterial small subunit ribosomal RNA", at positions 524 to 776 of the family's 1533-position model. The record is from RNAcentral.